Molecule: long non-coding RNA, 717 nt
Filed under: Macaca mulatta (Rhesus monkey)
Lineage: Eukaryota; Metazoa; Chordata; Mammalia; Primates; Cercopithecidae
Description: lncRNA (ENSMMUG00000058757.1)
Source: RNAcentral
ACCAGAAGGAUGCUGGAGUAAAACAAACCAGAGCUUCUUCCCCCAAUCCCAGCGAGGUUCCUGACUCUGGGCAGGAAGGAGUGGCCUUUGCUCCUGGGGAAAGGAACUAAAGAGGAUUCUGGAGGACUCCAAGCUCUCACAGCCUCCGGGGCUCCUCUAGGGGGAAACGUGGUCAGAGCUUGGGGAAGACAAAUUGAAUUCUGCUCGUGCUGACCGGCUGCUGCCCCUCACCCCACAGCCCAGGAGCUACUUGCUGUAAGGCCACUGUGCAGAUGAGAGACCUUGGUCUCCACAGUGUUCAACCAUUCAGCCAAGACGCGGCCAGUGAGCUGUGGAGAAGGAACCCACAUCUGCCUGGAUCACGAUUCUUUCCACCACUGGGUAGAAGUUGAGAUGCUGACCUCAAGAUUAUUCCAUGGUCACUGUCCUGGCUAUGCAGACAGUGGUCAGUGGACAUCCCAGUCAUUUAAUACCAACUACUUGGCCCAGGGGGAAGCAGUCGCUUGUGGCCCUCAGGGGCGUCUUAUCUCAUGGGAGCAAGUGAGGAGCAUUGCCAACCUCUCCGUUACAAGUUAUUGGUUCCUCCAGGUGCAGAAACAUGGGCCAGUGGCUGAGGCCCGGCUCCACGAGGAAAUGUUGGGAGAAGGCAACACACAUGGAGGAGAAGCAAGGAGGCAGCCAUGGGUGUCCAUGCUGAAGGAAGACGCAAGUUCUUAG